AAACGUGUAACCAAUUACACUUGACAUUAAAAAAUUAGAAAUUAAUUCAGCUUCAGUGGUAACUGGUACACCAUUUCUAAUAACCGGUUACGCCUUCGAAAACUUCACCUUUCUACUAUUGAAAAGCAUCUCAGGUAUUGUUGUAACCAAUUACAUAUCCGUCGUAACCGGUUAAGAUAUUUGAAUUACUUCAACAAACUUUAAAAGAUGAGAGAAAG
This 218-nucleotide long non-coding RNA is filed under the name Lathyrus oleraceus (garden pea). RNAcentral's name for it is "Pisum sativum (pea) long non-coding RNA (PSAT_LNC024579)". Lineage: Eukaryota; Viridiplantae; Streptophyta; Magnoliopsida; Fabales; Fabaceae. The record is from RNAcentral.